RNAcentral lists this ribosomal RNA (247 nucleotides) under uncultured bacterium. Its description in RNAcentral is "partial 16S ribosomal RNA". It matches the Rfam family "Bacterial small subunit ribosomal RNA", at positions 282 to 544 of the family's 1533-position model. The record is from RNAcentral.
AGUAGCUGGUCCGAGAGGAUGAUCAGCCACACUGGGACUGAGACACGGCCCAGACUCCUACGGGAGGCGGCAGUGGGGAAUUUUCCGCAAUGGGCGAAAGCCUGACGGAGCAAUGCCGCGUGGAGGUGGAAGGCCUACGGGUCGUCAACUUCUUUUCUCGGAGAAGAAACAAUGACGGUAUCUGAGGAAUAAGCAUCGGCUAACUCUGUGCCAGCAGCCGCGGUAAUAUAGAGGAUGCAAGCGUUAU